Long non-coding RNA from Malaclemys terrapin pileata, 2963 nucleotides. RefSeq lists it as uncharacterized. The record is from RefSeq and is a predicted model, not a curated record. NCBI's taxonomy places the organism in Eukaryota, Metazoa, Chordata, Testudines, Emydidae. The transcript has 2 exons.
AGACUGAGUGAACUUGUAGGCUCUAAAGUUUUACAUUGUUUUUGAGUACAGUAAUGUGAAAAAAAUUGCUUGGAACUGCAGAAGGAAAAAGGAUGGUCUCAUGAUUAAGGCAGUUGAAUGCUGUGCAGGAAAAUUGUUUUCCAUCCCUGUCUGAGCCACAAAGUUCCUAAUCAAGACACUUAAGCCAAACUUUUCACAGGUGGUGAUUAAUUGUGUGUUUUUCAUUUUCUACAUGACCAGCUUGAGACCAUGGGGCCUGAUUUGCAGAAGUGCUGAGAAUUCACAGCCACACCUGAAGUCAAUGGAAGCUGGGCUUGAAUGUGUAAAGUUCUGUAUAUUGCUAAGUACUCUGAAAAAUAAGGUUCUAGUCAUCUCAAAUUGGACACCCUAAAUUAGUGGAUAUAUUUAUUAGGGCUGUCCAAUAUUUAAAAAAUAAUUGCAAUUAAUCAUGAGAUUAAUUGAGAGUUGCCAUUAAUCACAGUUUUAAUCACACUGUUAAGCAGUAAUAGAAUACCAAUUUAAAUUCAAUAUGGAAGCACGUCCUCUGGAAUCGUGGUCAAAGCAUGAAGGGACAUAUGAAUAUUUUGCAUAUCUGGCAUGUAAAUACCCCAACGCCGGCUACAACAGUGCUAUGUGAACGCCUGUUCUCACUUUCAGGUGGACUUUAAAUAAGAAGCAGGCAGCAUUAUCUACCAUAAAUGUAAAUAAACGUGUUUUCCUUAGUAAUUGGCUGAACAAGAAGUAGGAUUGAGUGGACUUGUAGGCUCUAAAGUUUUACAUUACUGUAUCAAAAACAAAACAAUGUAAAAAAAAAAAUUCUACAUUUUUGUAAGUUGCAUUUUCACGAUAAAGAGAUUGCACUACAGUAUUUGUAUGAGGUGAAUUGAAAAAUACUAUUUAUUAUGUUUCAUCUUUUUUACAGUGAAAAUAUUUGUCAAAUAUAAUACAAUAAAGUGAGCACUGUACACUUUGUAUUGUGUUAUAAUUGAAAUCAAUAUAUUUGAAAAUGUAGAACAUCCAAAAAUAUAAUAAAUUAAAUUGGUAUUCUAUUAUUGUUUAACAGUGCAAUUAAAACUGCAAUUAAUCACAGCUAUUUUUUAAACCUUCUUAAUUUGUUUUGCAUUAAUUGCUUGAGUUAACUGCGAUUGAUAGCCCUAAUAAUUUCCAUUUAUUUCUAUGUCUCAGCACCCUAUCUGCAAAAUGGAGAGAAUACCACUCACCUCACAGAAGCUUUGAAGAUUAAAAAAUCAUUAAUGUUUGUGAAGCAUACAAAUACUAUAAUGAUGAGCAUCACUAAAAUGCCCAUACGGAAACAAAUAAUUCUGUCUUCAUGGCAGGAUUUGAAAAGUGUGCAAUAAAUAAUUCAUUAAUAUUAUUGUGUGGUGUAUGUAUGGAGAACAAAUCCAAAAUUACAAACGUAUUAGGGAUAAUCAAAGUAUAUCUGCCAGGCAGGGCUAAAGUUACCCCAUCCUAGACAAAGGAAUGUGGUUCAGCCACCUUGAAGGUACUUCCAAGUUACACUAAGACAAUGGGAGUGCAAUUUACAAAUGAAGGUAAACAGGACCAUCAAGCCAGCAAGGGGAGAUCUCCCUCUGCUCUGAUGCUGAGUGGUUGAGAUUGCAGGAAACAGAUUAAUUUUCAUGAAACUUCCUUUACCAGAAGAGUCCACGUCACCUUUCUCACAGCAUGAAUAAACUUUACUUUGGAUAGUAACCUUCAGAAGAAUCUAUUUUACUGAACUACACAAGAGGACAAAGACCCCACGUUAUCUUUCACCUAAGAUGACAACUAAACGGAGCAUGUGGGCUGUGAAGCUACCUUGCUUGAAGGUAUAUUUGUAAGGAAACUAUCUUGAAAAAAGGCCAUAGCUUGUUCUGUUAAGACAGCCUCUUGAAAGCAUUUUUCAGCUUUAUUUGCUUAUAACUAGAGAUGAAAGUAGGCCGGUACGGCAUACUGGUAAGAAGUGGCCGCUGGAACCGGCCCUUACACAGCUGACGUUAAAGCUCUGCUGCAGCAGCGCUUUCAGGACCCUCCUGAAAGCGCUGCCAUGGCAGCACUUUAACGUCGCUGCCCCUUUUCCCCCCCACCGGCCCUGCUGGUAGGGACCCAACUGGCGGGGCCACCGGGGGGGAGAGAGGGGGAAGCCUACCAAAGAGCCAGAGAGACAAAUGGCCGCUCCGGGUCAGAGCCCCAGACAUGCCGCGUCUAUGAUGAGCUACAUGCCAUUCUAGGGGGUGCCCCUACAACUACCCCAGCCCUGUGCGUGGACUCCAUCAAUGGAUUUGCAUGCAACAGGGAUGCGGAUUUUGGGGACGAGGAAGAGGUUGAAGAUAGCGCACAGCAAGCAAGCAGAGAAACUGUUUUCCCCGACAGCCAGGAACUGUUUUUCACCCUGGAUCUAGUACCCUCCCAACCCACCGAAGGCGGGUUCCCAGACCUAGAAGGUGGAGAAAGGACCUCUGCUGCAAAUGUUUCAAUGCUCCCCGUAUCAUCUCCGUCCCAGAGGCUAGUGAAGAUUAGAAGAUGAAAAAAAAAAAACCCUCACGAUGAAAUGUUCUGAGGUCAUGCAGUCCUCCCUCACUGAAAGAGCCCAGCAGAAUGCCUGGAGGCAUACACUGUCAGAGUGCAGGAAAGCACAAAAUGAAUGCAAGAACAUGUGGCGAGAUAAAGAUGAUAGGUGGCGUCAGCGUGAUGAAAGGAGGAAGGAUGCAAUGCUGAGGCUACUGGAAGAUCAAACUGAUAUUCUCCGGCGUACUGUUCAGGUGCAGGAAAGGCAGCAGGAGCACAGACUGCCGCUGCAGCCCCUGUGUAACCAACCGCCCUCCUCCCCAAGAUCCAUAGCCUCCUCACCCAGACGUCCAAGAACGCGGUGGGGGGGGACCUCCGGGCACUCAACCACUCCACCCCAGAGGACUGCCCAAGGAACAGAAAGCUGGCAUUUAAUAAAUAAGUUUUGAAGUGCA